AAGACUAUAGACCUGCGGAGUACCUGCGGAAGGAUCAUUAACGUAUCUAUGAUGGGGUGCGGAGCGCCCUGCUCCGGUCGAACGGCCGUGCAGCGGGUGCGCCGCCCCCGUCCCACCUCACAAACCCACUGUGAACAUUCACCGGUGGAGGGGGCUCGGUCUGCGCCGUGUCCCCGAUGCCGAAUACCCAAACUCCAGUUGCAAAGAACGUCGUGCGGGCUCGGUGCCGCCUAAAACAUG
This 240-nucleotide unclassified non-coding RNA is filed under the name soil metagenome. RNAcentral describes it as "partial contains 5.8S ribosomal RNA, internal transcribed spacer 2, and large subunit ribosomal RNA". The record is from RNAcentral.